GAUGAAGAACGCGGCGAAAUGCGAUAAGUAAUGUGAAUUGCAGAAUUCAGUGAAUCAUCGAAUCUUUGAACGCACAUUGCGCCCCUUGGUAUUCCGAGGGGCAUGCCUGUUCGAGCGUCAUUAUAACCCCUCAAGCUCAGCUUGGUGUUGGGGCCUGCUGCACUGGCAGCCCUUAAAAUCAGUGGCGGCGCCAUCUGGCUCUAAGCGUAGUAAUUCUUCUCGCUAUGGAGUCCUGGUGGAUGCUUGCCAUCAACCCCCAAUUUUUCUAUGGUUGACCUCGGAUCAGGUAGGGAUACCCGCUGAACUUAAGCAUAUCAAUAAGCGGAGGA
RNAcentral lists this unclassified non-coding RNA (329 nucleotides) under soil metagenome. RNAcentral's name for it is "partial contains 5.8S ribosomal RNA, internal transcribed spacer 2, and large subunit ribosomal RNA". The stretch from base 1 to 120 matches the Rfam family "5.8S ribosomal RNA", at positions 35 to 154 of the family's 154-position model. The record is from RNAcentral.